This 24-nucleotide non-coding RNA is filed under the name Mus musculus (house mouse). The record is from RNAcentral. Lineage: Eukaryota; Metazoa; Chordata; Mammalia; Rodentia; Muridae. RNAcentral also lists the same sequence under 3 other names.
CUAGCACCAUUUGAAAUCAGUGUU